CAACCCUCAGGCCCUCCCUUUCGGGGGAACGGCCUGGUGUUGGGGCCCGGCGACCGCUCCGGCGGUCCCCGUCCCCUAAAUUCAGUGGCGGUCGCGCCGCAGCCUCCCCUGCGUAGUAGCACACCUCGCAUUGGAGAGCGGCACGGCCACGCCUCGAAACCCCCAAUUUUUCAA
Molecule: unclassified non-coding RNA, 174 nt
Filed under: uncultured Hypocreales
Lineage: Eukaryota; Fungi; Ascomycota; Sordariomycetes; Hypocreales
Description: sequence contains ITS2
Source: RNAcentral